Molecule: ribosomal RNA, 253 nt
Filed under: uncultured bacterium
Lineage: Bacteria
Description: partial 16S ribosomal RNA
Rfam family: Bacterial small subunit ribosomal RNA
Source: RNAcentral
UACGUAGGGUGCGUGCGUUAAUCGGAAUUACUGGGCGUAAAGCGUGCGCAGGCGGUUCGUUAAGUCAGCUGUGAAAGCCCCGGGCUCAACCUGGGAAUUGCGGUUGAAACUGGCGAACUAGAAUCUGGCAGAGGGGGGUGGAAUUCCACGUGUAGCAGUGAAAUGCGUAGAGAUGUGGAGGAACACCGAUGGCGAAGGCAGCCCCCUGGGCUGAGAUUGACGCUCAGGCACGAAAGCGUGGGGAGCAAACAGG